This 533-nucleotide ribosomal RNA is filed under the name uncultured archaeon. RNAcentral describes it as "bacterial SSU rRNA". It matches the Rfam family "Archaeal small subunit ribosomal RNA", at positions 345 to 879 of the family's 1478-position model. The record is from RNAcentral.
AACCUUUGCAAUGUGCGCAAGCACGACAAGGUUAAUCCGAGUGUUUCCUGCUAAAGGAAUCUUUUGUUAGUUGUAAAACCACUAUCGAAUAAGGGGUGGGCAAGUUCUGGUGUCAGCCGCCGCGGUAAAACCAGCACCUCAAGUGGUCAGGAGGAUUAUUGGGCCUAAAGCAUCCGUAGCCUGUUCUGUAAGUUUUCGGUUAAAUCCAUUAGCUCAACUAAUGGGCUGCCGAAAAUACUGUAGAACUAGGGAGUGGGAGAGGUAGACGGUAUUCGGUAGGAAGGGGUAAAAUCCUUUGAUCUAUUGAGGACCACCUGUGGCGAAGGCGGUCUACCAGAACACGUUCGACGGUGAGGGAUGAAAGCUGGGGGAGCAAACCGGAUUAGAUACCCGGGUAGUCCCAGCUGUAAACGAUGCAGACUCGGUGAUGCCCUGGCUUGUGGCCAGUGCAGUGCCGCAGGGAAGCCGUUAAGUUUGCCGCCUGGGAAGUACGUACGCAAGUAUGAAACUUAAAGGAAUUGGCGGGGGAGCAC